RNAcentral lists this ribosomal RNA (402 nucleotides) under Actinomycetes bacterium. Its description in RNAcentral is "Actinobacteria bacterium partial 16S ribosomal RNA". It matches the Rfam family "Bacterial small subunit ribosomal RNA", at positions 355 to 776 of the family's 1533-position model. The record is from RNAcentral. Lineage: Bacteria; Bacillati; Actinomycetota; Actinomycetes.
UGGGGAAUUUUGCACAAUGGGGGCAACCCUGAUGCAGCGACGCCGCGUGAUUUAGAAGGCCUUCGGGUUGUAAAAAUCUUUUGUAUGGGAAGAAAAUGACAGUACCAUACGAAUAAGGACCGGCUAAUUACGUGCUAGCAGCCGCGGUAAUACGUAAGGUCCGAGCGUUGUCCGGAAUCAUUGGUCGUAAAGGGUACGUAGGCGGAUAAGCAAGUUAGAAGUGAAAUCCUAUAGCUCAACUAUAGUAAGCUUUUAAAACUGCUCAUCUUGAGGUAUGGAAGGGAAAGUGGAAUUCCUAGUGUAGCGGUGAAAUGCGCAGAUAUUAGGAGGAAUACCGGUGGCGAAGGCGACUUUCUGGCCAUAAACUGACGCUGAGGUACGAAAGCGUGGGUAGCAAACAGG